UUUUGUUUAAAUAUUUUGUUAAUUUUUUCUUUAAAACGGCUACCUGACCUGUGUGUGUUUUUUCUGCUCUGAGUCACCGCAACUUCAUUUCCUGCCACGUAGCACUAGUGCAUGUGAGAAGAGAGUGCUAACCUUAUUUUAAUGCAUAAACGAUAAAAAAAAAUCUAUGUUUCCAUUUUAUCAAAUGUAUGCCCACUCACUUCCAGAAAGACAUGCUUGCAAGCUGCAAGCGAGAUGUGUGUUAUGAGUGUGUCAAACAAUCCAGACCAGAACUGUAAAGCAGAGUAGGUCCAGAACACUUGUUAGUAGUUGUUUUGUUGCUUUUUUAGAAUGUGUCUAUUGACUUCUAGUCCACACUAACAGCACAGACCCAGAAUGUCAGUUUCAAUCACGAAUGUACUUAGAUUGUUUGUACUUAGAUAUAUAUGUAUCCUAACUGGAUGUGUUGGUGUUUGUUAUUAUGUGUUUAUUGCUAAAAACAUUACCAUAAUACAUCAGAAAAAACCAAUGUAGAGCAGGAAUUUCACCAGGGUCUGGACUAAUUCAAAAUCAUGGAUCCGCCAUAACAAUUAAAAAGUAAGAAUAUGGCAGAUUUAUACGUGCUGUAUUUUAACUAUUUAAAUGCACACUAAUAAACAAUCAGUUGUAAUGAACAGAUAAUUAACUGCUAACGUUUCAGUCAAAGCAGGGUACUGACUGUUAUCAAAAGGUCAACCGAAUAGAUAACAUGUCCGUUAAAAAAGUGACUGAUAUACAUGAAAACUGCUGAAAUUCUGACAAGCAACUCUUGAAAUCUAUCUAUGGCAUCCACUGCACUUCUCUAGGGAGGUAGAAAGCAAAGGCCCUCUUCACUGAUAAGAGCAUCUUGAAAUGAAUUAGUCACCCUUUGGCAAAGCACCUAGUGUGGAUGCAUUUUUAGGAAGAAUUCGAUCAAAAACCAAGUUACAUAUCGCAUUGGAUGUACGCACUGGACACAACAUACAGUACAUACUUUGAAACUCUUAAAUAAGCAGAUGCCUCUCCCUGCACCAGAAGGACCAGGACUAGGUGC
Polyodon spathula (Mississippi paddlefish) is the source of this 1051-nucleotide long non-coding RNA. RefSeq lists it as uncharacterized. The transcript is spliced from 3 exons. The record is from RefSeq and is a predicted model, not a curated record. NCBI's taxonomy places the organism in Eukaryota, Metazoa, Chordata, Actinopteri, Acipenseriformes, Polyodontidae.